This 403-nucleotide ribosomal RNA is filed under the name Verrucomicrobiota bacterium. Its description in RNAcentral is "Verrucomicrobia bacterium partial 16S ribosomal RNA". It matches the Rfam family "Bacterial small subunit ribosomal RNA", at positions 355 to 776 of the family's 1533-position model. The record is from RNAcentral. Lineage: Bacteria; Pseudomonadati; Verrucomicrobiota.
UGGGGAAUAUUGCACAAUGGAGGGAACUCUGAUGCAGCGACGCCGCGUGAACGAAGAAGGCUUUCGAGUCGUAACGUUCUUUUAUAUGGGAAGAUAAUGACGGUACCAUAAGAAAAAGCCCCGGCUAACUACGUGCCAGCAGCCGCGGUAAUACGUAGGGGGCUAGCGUUGUCCGGAAUCACUGGGCGUAAAGGGUUCGCAGGCGGAAAUGCAAGUCAGGUGUAAAAGGCAGUAGCUUAACUACUGUAAGCAUUUGAAACUGCAUAUCUUGAGAAGAGUAGAGGUAAGUGGAAUUUUUGGUGUAGCGGUGAAAUGCGUAGAUAUUAGGAGGAAUACCGGUGGCGAAGGCGACUUUCUGGACUUUUACUGACGCUCAGGUACGAAAGCGUGGGGAGCAAACAGG